This 252-nucleotide ribosomal RNA is filed under the name uncultured bacterium. Its description in RNAcentral is "partial 16S ribosomal RNA". It matches the Rfam family "Bacterial small subunit ribosomal RNA", at positions 524 to 776 of the family's 1533-position model. The record is from RNAcentral.
CACGGAGGAUGCGAGCGUUAUCCGGAUUUAUUGGGUUUAAAGGGUGCGUAGGCGGACGCUUAAGUCAGCGGUAAAAUUGCGGGGCUCAACCUCGUCGAGCCGUUGAAACUGGGUGCCUUGAGUGGGCGAGAAGUACGCGGAAUGCGUGGUGUAGCGGUGAAAUGCAUAGAUAUCACGCAGAACUCCGAUUGCGAAGGCAGCGUACCGGCGCCCUACUGACGCUGAAGCACGAAGGCGUGGGUAUCGAACAGG